CUCGUAGGCGGUUCGUCGCGUCCGGUGUGAAAGUCCAUCGCUUAACGGUGGACCCGCGCCGGGUACGGGCGGGCUUGAGUGCGGUAGGGGAGACUGGAAUUCCCGGUGUAACGGUGGAAUGUGUAGAUAUCGGGAAGAACACCAAUGGCGAAGGCAGGUCUCUGGGCCGUCACUGACGCUGAGGAGCGAAAGCGUGGGGAGCGAACA
Molecule: ribosomal RNA, 207 nt
Filed under: uncultured bacterium
Lineage: Bacteria
Description: partial 16S ribosomal RNA
Rfam family: Bacterial small subunit ribosomal RNA
Source: RNAcentral